UGGCUUGCCAGGGGGUCCAGGCCUGUCGACCGAAGUUUGGUUGAGGUGCCUGGCGAAGAGGGGUAGCUAUCCAUCUGAGAGGAGCUCGAAUAUCGCAAAUCCUGUUGGGUGCCUUGGGUGUUAAGGUUGCAGGCGAGGACCAUUUGCCAUAGGAGCUUGGUCGGAGGCUUUUCGCAGACGCGGUCCGAUUUCGUGUAGACUUUGGCAGGGGGUCGACCGGCGGUGGAUGUUGGAUGGCGCUGG
This 243-nucleotide long non-coding RNA is filed under the name Elaeis guineensis (African oil palm). RNAcentral's name for it is "long non-coding RNA (EGUI_LNC076184)". The record is from RNAcentral. Lineage: Eukaryota; Viridiplantae; Streptophyta; Magnoliopsida; Arecales; Arecaceae.